AGAAAUGGAAUUAAAAAGACAAGAGCUGGCAACACAAGCAGCCUGGGAAUGUAAAGCUGAGAAAUUUUUCAUCGAAAUUAAAGAGAUACAUGCCAUGGAAAAGAAGGAAACUUCAAAAGAACCAAAUAGGACUGAGAAUGAAAACAUAAUUUAUGAUGCUCCAACUCUGGCAUAUUUCCGGACAGUCAGGUAUACUCAUGUCUUUCUUGUGGGAUUUCAGAAUAGUAGAAUCCUUUGGAAAUAAUGUGGCAGUAUCCUGGUCAAGUUUAAAAAAGAAAACUAUAACCAACCAGCCUCUCAUCCUUUUCUUGGGAAUAUACCAAAUGGAGUGCAUUAUUCAUACAGUAAAAAAGAAAGGUUAUAUUCAUAGAACAUCUCUAGUCGUAUUCUUUUGUGACUCCAAGAAGCUGGAGAUGCCUGAAAUGCCUGACAAGUUGAGACUGAGUGAAGAAAUUCUAGAUGAUCAAUAAAAAAGAAUAAUAUUGGGAAUUAAAAUUGAUCAGUAGGAAAAAAAAGGAAAAUUUUAGAAACACCUCUAUGAAUUAAUGUAUGCAUAAAAAAAUUGAACCAGGAUAAAAAAAAGUACACAGUAAUUUAGUAACCACCCACAAAGUCUCAAGUGUGCUUCAAAUUAAAAGAGAAAUGUCAUACAAAUAGUGAGAAAUGGACAAAAUGUUAAAGAGGCCACACCAGACAAUAACUGAUAAGAAGUUGCCAACAUUAAGAAAAAAAGUUGUCACUACUACAUAGAUUUCAAUGAAUGGAAUAUGUUAUGCCUAAUUCACUCAACUAUGUAAGUGGAAGAAUUGGGUUAGAAGCCAAGAUUCUUGAUACUGAAGUCAGUAACUCUCCUCACUUAAAACACAUACAUCGUGCUGUUGGUUUUGUAUUUCCAGAGAAAAUGCAUUCAAAAAACUAGAGCUAGAAAGAAGGACAACCUGGGAAGAAAAAGCCUGAAGUUGAUCAGUGAAUUGAAAGAGAUGUGUGCCAUGAAAGAAAUUGAAGCUAGGGAAGAUGAAAAGGUCAUUGAAAAGGACAAUCGUUUUUAUGAUGAUUUGACUCUGGCAUCUCAUUUGAGAACCAGAGCAACUGAAUUUGAAAAACAGAAACUGGCAAUAAAGACCAUUUUUGAAGAGAAAACACAGACAUUUCUCAAGGAAAUCAAAGAGAUAUGUGCUAUGGAAGUAAAUUAUGUUACAGAAAUGGAAAACUUGAAUAAGAAGGAAAACACAACCAAAAAAGAAAAGAUUAUUUAUCGUUCUUCCAUCCUGGCACCGCUCUGGAAAAUCGGGUACACACAUAUACUACUAGUGGGAUUUCAGAAGAAUAAUACUUACUUAGGGGGGAAAGUGGCAUAUACUGGAGAAGUUACAAAAGUAACAGCGCACCCCACCUAUGUCACUGUCAGCCUUUUAUUGGUAAUAUACCAAAUGGAGUGCAUAUGCAGAACAGGCAAAAAGUGAGGUUAUGUUCAAAUGACAUUUCUGAUAAUAUUCUUUUGUUAUUCCAAAACCUUGAGAUGCUUGAAAGGUCUGACCAGUUGAGACUAUCGGAAAAAAUUCUAGAUUAUUAUAGAAGAAUACCAGGAAUUGAAAUACAUCAGUAUAAGUAACAGAAAAAUUCUGGCAAUAUCUUUGUGAAUUCUUAUGAGCAUAGAAAAUAAAACCAGAAUAAAGGAGUAUACA
This 1685-nucleotide long non-coding RNA is filed under the name Phascolarctos cinereus (koala). Its description in RNAcentral is "lncRNA (ENSPCIG00000009466.2)". The record is from RNAcentral. Lineage: Eukaryota; Metazoa; Chordata; Mammalia; Diprotodontia; Phascolarctidae.